GUAGCACAGAGAGCUUGCUCUCGGGUGACGAGCGGCGGACGGGUGAGUAAUGUCUGGGAAACUGCCUGAUGGAGGGGGAUAACUACUGGAAACGGUAGCUAAUACCGCAUAACGUCGCAAGACCAAAGUGGGGGACCUUCGGGCCUCAUGCCAUCAGAUGUGCCCAGAUGGGAUUAGCUAGUAGGUGGGGUAACGGCUCACCUAGGCGACGAUCCCUAGCUGGUCUGAGAGGAUGACCAGCCACACUGGAACUGAGACACGGUCCAGACUCCUACGGGAGGCAGCAGUGGGGAAUAUUGCACAAUGGGCGCAAGCCUGAUGCAGCCAUGCCGCGUGUGUGAAGAAGGCCUUCGGGUUGUAAAGCACUUUCAGCGGGGAGGAAGGCGAUAAGGUUAAUAACCUUGUCGAUUGACGUUACCCGCAGAAGAAGCACCGGCUAACUCCGUGCCAGCAGCCGCGGUAAUACGGAGGGUGCAAGCGUUAAUCGGAAUUACUGGGCGUAAAGCGCACGCAGGCGGUCUGUCAAGUCGGAUGUGAAAUCCCCGGGCUCAACCUGGGAACUGCAUUCGAAACUGGCAGGCUAGAGUCUUGUAGAGGGGGGUAGAAUUCCAGGUGUAGCGGUGAAAUGCGUAGAGAUCUGGAGGAAUACCGGUGGCGAAGGCGGCCCCCUGGACAAAGACUGACGCUCAGGUGCGAAAGCGUGGGGAGCAAACAGGAUUAGAUACCCUGGUAGUCCACGCCGUAAACGAUGUCGAUUUGGAGGUUGUGCCCUUGAGGCGUGGCUUCCGGAGCUAACGCGUUAAAUCGACCGCCUGGGGAGUACGGCCGCAAGGUUAAAACUCAAAUGAAUUGACGGGGGCCCGCACAAGCGGUGGAGCAUGUGGUUUAAUUCGAUGCAACGCGAAGAACCUUACCUGGUCUUGACAUCCACAGAACUUGCCAGAGAUGGCUUGGUGCCUUC
RNAcentral lists this ribosomal RNA (961 nucleotides) under Klebsiella quasipneumoniae. RNAcentral describes it as "bacterial SSU rRNA". It matches the Rfam family "Bacterial small subunit ribosomal RNA", at positions 66 to 1021 of the family's 1533-position model. The record is from RNAcentral. Lineage: Bacteria; Pseudomonadati; Pseudomonadota; Gammaproteobacteria; Enterobacterales; Enterobacteriaceae.